CAUUUAUUAGGUGUUAGGCCAGUGCAAAGACUUGCCUCGUUUCAGUUCUUGGCAGGCUGGCCAAAGAUAGGGAAUAAAUGUCGGGGCUGAGUGGGAAUGCCAGAGGGUGGCUGGGCUGAACCCAGGUAUUUGAUGGGAAACGGCCAGGUGUGGAGAUGCUGGAGCAGGCACAAAAAUCAGCUUUCAGUUGAACUAAGGAGUCUGUGAUGCAUUCAACCAAGGAAGGCAGCUGAAUGGGAAUCCCCAGGCUUGAACGAACGUAGGUGGCUCGAGAUAGCUGCCAACAGGCUUGGUCUCUGCCCUACGGGUGUGGGUGGUUGUGGAGUCGUGGGGGAAGCACUCGAGCUGGCGUUACCUGAAUGCCCCCUUGCCCCGUGCAGGCAGGGAAUAAUAGCGGGUCAGAAGGGCAAAUGGGUCCGUCUACAAGGGAUCAGGGCAGACAGGAUCCAUUGGGUAAAUCCGAUAUCUUUUAUUAGGCCAACUCAAAUAGUUGGAAGAAUUAUUCCUUGCAAGCUUUCGGGCACAAGCGCCCUUCGUCAGGCUGAGGAAGUGUCUGCAGUGAUCUGUGCUCUUGGAUGGAAGAGCACAGAUAAGGGAUCAGGUGUUUGACCCUUCCUCCUUUUCCUCCUUCCUGCUCUCUUCCAGGCAUCUCGUGUCCAUGAUGAUGACUGGAAGGAACAAUAUUCCAGCUAGUUUCUCUAUCCAGGUGCAAGGAGCAAGGCUACUUCUUAUCUACCCAUGUCUUACACUGCUCUAAAUCAGCCUCCCGGAGAUGACUGGAGUUAAAGAGGAAAGUUGAGAAGAGGAUCAUAGAAAAUUCGGGUGAACGUCUCGUUCGGGGUCUUCAUCGUCUACCUCCGCAUCCCCGUCAUCCUGAACCUGCUCGACUCCAGACACGUCAGGGGGUCACAUCUAAUGCAACCCCCUGCUCCAAGCAGGACCGGCCCCAACUACAUCAUCCCAGCCAAGGCUUUGUCUACCUAUAAUGCAGAUAAAGAGUCAUAUACCACCGGAUCAGGCUGCCGCUGUGGUUGCCAUCGCUGUUCUUUAUGCUGCUUCGAGAAACAUGUUCAGAAAGUUUCUUUUCGCUGGCUCAAGGAGUCAGAACUCAUGGCAGAGGGUGCUCUCUUUUAUUAGCCCAGCUAGAUAUUUGCCAAAAAAAAUCUUUAUUUGCAAGCUUUCAGGCACACUCGCCCUUCUUCAGGCCUAGGAGAAUGCAAAGAUUGUAUUCUGGCGGGGCAUGGACAUUCGUAUGCAGAGGAGAGCUGAAGGUGAAGGUGUUGUAAGAUCGCCCGGUUGGAAUCGUUCGUGUUGUGCAAAUUAGGCUCCGAUAAAAGUCUGGCUUGCUCUGCACUGCUUGCUGGACCUGAGGGCAGGAGCUAGCCUUGUAGCCAGCUCCCCACUCAAUUCCUGCCCCUUUCAAAAACCCGUUUCUUCCUAAAUGUGGAUUUUGACCCCAGGCUCUCUCUCCUCCGUCUACACCCCUCCUCAAUGACCUUCCCUUCCAUGUUCUCCCGAUCCCCCGAGGACUCGACGGCAGGAAAUUAUUCUAGUAACUCUGCGGGCCGUUCGGAGCUGGAACAAGAUACCUAGAAGCUGUAGGAUUUCCAUCCUGGGAUGCUGCAAAGAGGCAGGGAGACCGGCUCGGGGAGCCACUUGAAGGAGGGGAUGAAAGACGAGUCCAAGCCAUCGCACACUCCUCCUUCGAGAGGUGAAGCCAUGCGAGGGGUUCAGACCGGUCUUCCCUUCGUCUCCAGAGGACCAGCUGCUUUCCAGUCCAGCGAAGACAAACAGGUCAAGACCGGACAAGAGAACUAAGGUUGCCUUUCAGACAGCCAGGUGGGCGACUGGUGCCGGUUCGGGUCUGGAGUCGAGAAUAAACGGGCCCGGAGAUACCCAGCUGGCUCUUUCCCAAGCGUGCAAGGGAAGGAAAUGGAGGGAGAUGCGGGUUUUAUGGACAGAGAAAACAACCAAGAUGCUUUGGCAAAAACAAUGCAUUUCCGAGCUGAUUUUCUUUCUAUGGGAUGCUCUGUCUUUCCUGUUUACUUGUUAUUUUGGAAAUAGAACAAUAAAUAAUUUACUGCUGAUUGGUUG
This is a long non-coding RNA of Alligator sinensis (Chinese alligator), 2094 nucleotides long. RefSeq lists it as uncharacterized. NCBI's taxonomy places the organism in Eukaryota, Metazoa, Chordata, Crocodylia, Alligatoridae. The record is from RefSeq and is a predicted model, not a curated record. The transcript has 4 exons.